AGUGAACGCUGGCGGUAGGCCUAACACAUGCAAGUCGAACGGCAGCACAGUAAGAGCUUGCUCUUACGGGUGGCGAGUGGCGGACGGGUGAGGUAUACAUCGGAAUCUACUUUUUCGUGGGGGAUAACGUAGGGAAACUUACGCUAAUACCGCAUACGACCUACGGGUGAAAGCAGGGGAUCUUCGGACCUUGCGCGAUUGAAUGAGCCGAUGUCGGAUUAGCUAGUUGGCGGGGUAAAGGCCCACCAAGGCGACGAUCCGUAGCUGGUCUGAGAGGAUGAUCAGCCACACUGGAACUGAGACACGGUCCAGACUCCGACGGGAGGCAGCAGUGGGGAAUAUUGGACAAUGGGGGCAAGCCUGAUCCAGCCAUACCGCGUGGGUGAAGAAGGCCUUCGGGUUGUAAAGCCCUUUUGUUGGGAAAGAAAAGCAGCAGGUUAAUACCCCGCUGUUCUGACGGUACCCAAAGAAUAAGCACCGGCUAACUUCGUG
RNAcentral lists this ribosomal RNA (492 nucleotides) under uncultured bacterium. Its description in RNAcentral is "partial 16S ribosomal RNA". It matches the Rfam family "Bacterial small subunit ribosomal RNA", at positions 29 to 507 of the family's 1533-position model. The record is from RNAcentral.